This 253-nucleotide ribosomal RNA is filed under the name uncultured bacterium. Its description in RNAcentral is "partial 16S ribosomal RNA". It matches the Rfam family "Bacterial small subunit ribosomal RNA", at positions 524 to 776 of the family's 1533-position model. The record is from RNAcentral.
UACGUAGGGUGCAAGCGUUGUCCGGAAUUAUUGGGCGUAAAGAGCUCGUAGGCGGUUUGUCGCGUCGGCUAUGAAAACCUGGGGCUCAACCCCGGGCCUGCAGCCGAUACGGGCAAACUAGAAUUCGGUAGGGGAGACUGGAAUUCCUGGUGUAGCGGUGAAAUGCGCAGAUAUCAGGAGGAACACCGGUGGCGAAGGCGGGUCUCUGGGCCGAUAUUGACGCUGAGGAGCGAAAGCGUGGGGAGCGAACAGG